UACGUAGGGGGCAAGCGUUGUCCGGAUUUAUUGGGCGUAAAGAGCGUGUAGGCGGCCAGGUAGGUCGGUUGUGAAAACUGGAGGCUCAACCUUCAGACGUCGACCGAAACCCCCUGGCUAGAGUCCGGGAGAGGAGAGUGGAAUUCCUGGUGUAGCGGUGAAAUGCGCAGAUAUCAGGAAGAACACCCGUGGCGAAAGCGGCUCUCUGGAACGGUACUGACGCUGAGACGCGAAAGCGUGGGGAGCGAACAGG
RNAcentral lists this ribosomal RNA (253 nucleotides) under uncultured bacterium. RNAcentral's name for it is "partial 16S ribosomal RNA". It matches the Rfam family "Bacterial small subunit ribosomal RNA", at positions 524 to 776 of the family's 1533-position model. The record is from RNAcentral.